GACAGGAUCUCACUUAUGGGGCUGGGAGAGGGAUGGGGCCAUGGGGACCGAACCCAUGUCAACUUAUGGGGCCGAACCCAUGUCACUUAUGGGGUAGGACGCGAACCCAUGUCACUUAUGGGGCAGGAACCCUUCUCACUUCAGUUAUGGGGCAGGCGCCAUCCAGGC
RNAcentral lists this long non-coding RNA (168 nucleotides) under Coturnix japonica (Japanese quail). RNAcentral's name for it is "lncRNA (ENSCJPG00005004802.1)". Lineage: Eukaryota; Metazoa; Chordata; Aves; Galliformes; Phasianidae. The record is from RNAcentral.